UGGGGAAUAUUGGACAAUGGGGGCAACCCUGAUCCAGCAAUGCCGCGUGUGUGAAGAAGGUCUUCGGAUUGUAAAGCACUUUCGACGGGGACGAUGAUGACGGUACCCGUAGAAGAAGCCCCGGCUAACUUCGUGCCAGCAGCCGCGGUAAUACGAAGGGGGCUAGCGUUGCUCGGAAUGACUGGGCGUAAAGGGCGUGUAGGCGGUUUACACAGUCAGAUGUGAAAUCCCCGGGCUUAACCUGGGAGCUGCAUUUGAUACGUGUAGACUAGAGUGUGAGAGAGGGUUGUGGAAUUCCCAGUGUAGGGGUGAAAUUCGUAGAUAUUGGGAAGAACACCGGUGGCGAAGGCGGCAACCUGGCUCAUGACUGACGCUGAGGCGCGAAAGCGUGGGGAGCAAACAGGAUUAGAUACCCGUGGUAGUCCACGCUGUAAACGAUGUGUGCUAGAUGUUGGGUAACUUUGUUAUUCAGUGUCGCAGUUAACGC
This 487-nucleotide ribosomal RNA is filed under the name uncultured bacterium. Its description in RNAcentral is "partial 16S ribosomal RNA". It matches the Rfam family "Bacterial small subunit ribosomal RNA", at positions 355 to 858 of the family's 1533-position model. The record is from RNAcentral.